This 493-nucleotide ribosomal RNA is filed under the name uncultured bacterium. RNAcentral describes it as "bacterial SSU rRNA". It matches the Rfam family "Bacterial small subunit ribosomal RNA", at positions 8 to 502 of the family's 1533-position model. The record is from RNAcentral.
AGAGUUUGAUCCUGGCUCAGGAUGAACGCUAGCGGCAGGCUUAACACAUGCAAGUCGAACGGUAAGGUCUCUUCGGAGAUACACGAGUGGCGAACGGGUGCGUAACGCGUAUGCAACCUACCUUUAACAGAGAGAUAGCCCCGAGAAAUUGGGAUUAAUAUCACAUAAUAUCAUAAAGCAACCUUGUUUAAUGAUUAAAGCUCCGGCGGUUAAAGAUGGGCAUGCGUAGCAUUAGCUAGUUGGUAAGGUAACGGCUUACCAAGGCAACGAUGCUUAGGGGUUCUGAGAGGAUUAUCCCCCACACUGGUACUGAGACACGGACCAGACUCCUACGGGAGGCAGCAGUGAGGAAUAUUGGGCAAUGGACGCAAGUCUGACCCAGCCAUGCCGCGUGCAGGACGACGGCCCUAUGGGUUGUAAACUGCUUUUAUAUACCAAGAAACCCCCCGACGUGUUGGGGGCUGACGGUAGUAUAUGAAUAAGAUCGCUAACU